RNAcentral lists this transfer RNA (75 nucleotides) under Nereocystis luetkeana. RNAcentral's name for it is "tRNA-Met". It matches the Rfam family "tRNA". Rfam says of the family: Transfer RNA (tRNA) molecules are approximately 80 nucleotides in length. Their secondary structure includes four short double-helical elements and three loops (D, anti-codon, and T loops). Further hydrogen bonds mediate the characteristic L-shaped molecular structure. tRNAs have two regions of fundamental functional importance: the anti-codon, which is responsible for specific mRNA codon recognition, and the 3' end, to which the tRNAs corresponding amino acid is attached (by aminoacyl-tRNA synthetases). tRNAs cope with the degeneracy of the genetic code in two manners: having more than one tRNA (with a specific anti-codon) for a particular amino acid; and 'wobble' base-pairing, i.e. permitting non-standard base-pairing at the 3rd anti-codon position. The record is from RNAcentral. Lineage: Eukaryota; Phaeophyceae; Laminariales; Laminariaceae.
UCGGUUUGUAGUUUAAUUGGUAAAACAUAGUUCUCAUGAAGCUAACAAUGUAGGUUCAAUCCCUGCCAAACCGAG